GACGAAGGGGGCUAGCGUUGUUCGGAAUUACUGGGCGUAAAGCGCGUGUAGGCGGUUGCCCAAGUCGGGUGUGAAAGCCUUGAGCUCAACUCAAGAAAUGCACUCGAUACUGGGUGACUAGAGGACCGGAGAGGAUAGUGGAAUUCCCAGUAUAGUGGUGAAAUACGUAGAGAUUGGGAAGAACACCAGUGGCGAAGGCGGCUAUCUGGAACGUACCUGACGCUGAGACACGAAAGCGUGGGGAGCAAACAGG
Molecule: ribosomal RNA, 253 nt
Filed under: uncultured bacterium
Lineage: Bacteria
Description: partial 16S ribosomal RNA
Rfam family: Bacterial small subunit ribosomal RNA
Source: RNAcentral